RNAcentral lists this ribosomal RNA (492 nucleotides) under uncultured bacterium. RNAcentral describes it as "partial 16S ribosomal RNA". It matches the Rfam family "Bacterial small subunit ribosomal RNA", at positions 29 to 507 of the family's 1533-position model. The record is from RNAcentral.
AGUGAACGCUGGCGGUAGGCCUAACACAUGCAAGUCGAACGGCAGCACAGUAAGAGCUUGCUCUUACGGGUGGCGAGUGGCGGACGGGUGAGGAAUACAUCGGAAUCUACUUUUUCGUGGGGGAUAACGUAGGGAAACUUACGCUAAUACCGCAUACGACCUACGGGUGAAAGCAGGGGAUCUUCGGACCUUGCGCGAUUGAAUGAGCCGAUGUCGGAUUAGCUAGUUGGCGGGGUAAAGGCCCACCAAGGCGACGAUCCGUAGCUGGUCUGAGAGGAUGAUCAGCCACACUGGAACUGAGACACGGUCCAGACUCCUACGGGAGGCAGCAGUGGGGAAUAUUGGACAAUGGGCGCAAGUCUGAUCCAGCCAUACCGCGUGGGUGAAGAAGGCCUUCGGGUUGUAAAGCCCUUUUGUGGGUAAAGAAAAGCAGCAGGUUGAUACCCCGCUGUUCUGACGGUACCCAAAGAAUAAGCACCGGCUAACUUCGUG